UACGAAGGGGGCUAGCGUUGCUCGGAAUCACUGGGCGUAAAGCGCACGUAGGCGGCUUUCUAAGUCAGAGGUGAAAUCCCGGAGCUCAACUCCGGAACUGCCUUUGAUACUGGAAAGCUUGAGUUCGGGAGAGGUGAGUGGAACUGCGAGUGUAGAGGUGAAAUUCGUAGAUAUUCGCAAGAACACCAGUGGCGAAGGCGGCUCACUGGCCCGAUACUGACGCUGAGAUGCGAAAGCGUGGGGAGCAAACAGG
Molecule: ribosomal RNA, 253 nt
Filed under: uncultured bacterium
Lineage: Bacteria
Description: partial 16S ribosomal RNA
Rfam family: Bacterial small subunit ribosomal RNA
Source: RNAcentral